AUCGUAUCAAGAGUGCGGAGAGAGUUCUGGCUCGAGGACCCGCCGGCAACCAGUCCAACAAGACACGGUGCCACAUCCAGCCCAAACGGGAAGAUACCUG
RNAcentral lists this non-coding RNA (100 nucleotides) under Candidatus Parcubacteria bacterium. RNAcentral describes it as "Parcubacteria Kaiserbacteria SAM-I sequence". It matches the Rfam family "SAM riboswitch aptamer (S box leader)". Rfam says of the family: The SAM riboswitch is found upstream of a number of genes which code for proteins involved in methionine or cysteine biosynthesis in Gram-positive bacteria. The SAM riboswitch acts at the level of transcription termination control. The record is from RNAcentral. Lineage: Bacteria; Candidatus Parcubacteria.